AUUAAAUUGGGCUUUAAUUGGGCGUUAAUUAGCUGAUACAAGAUGAAGACUUAUCGGGCGGCGGACGGACAGCAAAGUGGCUGGCGGCGUGGCGGAGCAGCGGUCAUGUGACAUCUACACAGUUAAUUCAUCUUAAUUCUUAGUUAUAUAAUAUGAGAAUCGUACUUUAAAAUAAGAUUAGUGCAUGGGAAUGCAAGUGGGAUUUUGAAACCGAAAUAAGAUUAGUGCAAAUGCAAUUGGAGUUUAUGAAAUCAAAGUUCGAUUAUUGGGAAAUCAAUUGAAGAUUACUAAAUUAUAGUAAAUAUUAGUUGGAGAUCAAUUGGGAGUUUUGAAAUCGAAGUAAGAUUAGUGGGAAAUCAAUUAGGGAUUAUGAAAUCGAAGUAAGAUUAGUGCAAAUAUAAUUGUGUGUGCAAUCGUGUAUGAUUGAUUCUUCUUAGGAUUCUCACUUGAAUUAGUGGAAUAUUAGAUUGAUUCUUAGUAUUCUUAGUUAAUUGGCUUAAAUUUAACUCUUUAAAUCAUUCAUUUCUUUUUCCACAUUUUCUACUUGACCCUAUGAUAACACUCAUGUUUCCAUGAUUUUUAGUGUUCAUAUUAUGUUAAUUUUAUAGGGAAUUGAGUGUUUGAUGAUUGUUUUGUGCUUAAAUUGCUUUAUCUUGUGAAUUAUGUUACUUGCUCGAACUUUGAUGGAUUUUACAGGAUUUUCUAGAUGGAAUUUGGAAAUAUUGUCAGAAAUGGAAGUUGUAGUUCGUCUCAAGAGGAGUUCGUGAGCGCAAACGGUUCAUAAAUCGGAGUUCGAACGAGAAAGUUAUGGCCAAAACAAGAAAGUCGCGCGCAGUAGUGAAUAGUGUCCGACGGGAAUUUCCGAAUUUUCGGGAAUUUUCGGAAUUUUCGGAUUUUGUCAGUAUUUUUUAGUUCUACACUGUAUUUAUCUCAUGUGCUUAUAUAUAGGUCCUUUCCCUGACCUAUUAGACACAUCUCUUUACCUCUUUUCUCCAUCUUUUCAGUUUUAGACUUAGACUUUUAUUGUUUUCAUAGAUUAGCUUUAUUUUCCUACAAGAUUCAAGCUGUCAUUCAACAUUCUUUCGGAUUUUAUCUAUUUUAUUUAUUUUAA
Molecule: long non-coding RNA, 1111 nt
Organism: Salvia miltiorrhiza (redroot sage)
Lineage: Eukaryota; Viridiplantae; Streptophyta; Magnoliopsida; Lamiales; Lamiaceae
Exons: 2
Source: RefSeq, a predicted model, not a curated record